RNAcentral lists this ribosomal RNA (253 nucleotides) under uncultured bacterium. Its description in RNAcentral is "partial 16S ribosomal RNA". It matches the Rfam family "Bacterial small subunit ribosomal RNA", at positions 524 to 776 of the family's 1533-position model. The record is from RNAcentral.
UACGUAGGGGGCGAGCGUUGUCCGGAUUUAUUGGGCGUAAAGAGCGUGUAGGCGGCCAGGUAGGUCGGCUGUGAAAACUCGAGGCUCAACCUCGAGAUGUCGGCUGAAACCAUCUGGCUAGAGUCCGGAAGAGGAGAAUGGAAUUCCCGGUGUAGCGGUGAAAUGCGCAGAUAUCGGGAAGAACACCCGUGGCGAAGGCGGAGCCCUGGGCCGAUACUGACGCUGAGGUGCGAAAGCGUGGGGAGCAAACAGG